GGAACGUUAGCUCAGUUGGUUCAGAGCAUCGCCUUGACAGGGCGGGGGUCAGGGGUUCGAGUCCCUUACGUUCCA
This 75-nucleotide transfer RNA is filed under the name Cytophagales bacterium. RNAcentral's name for it is "tRNA-Val". It matches the Rfam family "tRNA". Rfam says of the family: Transfer RNA (tRNA) molecules are approximately 80 nucleotides in length. The record is from RNAcentral. RNAcentral also lists the same sequence under 1 other name. Lineage: Bacteria; Pseudomonadati; Bacteroidota; Cytophagia; Cytophagales.